GUUGGAGACCUGACAGACUACAGCAUUACAGCCGGUGAUGGUUGGAGACCUGACAGACUACAGCCGGUGAUGGUUGGAGACCUGACAGACUACAGCAUUACAGCCGGUGAUGUUUGGAGAAGAGGAGAUAUAUCAAUUGAACAACCAGAAGCCUCGUUGACUUGAACCAGCAACCUAGCCGAUACAAGGACCAGGAGACCAGUCAACUCAUUAGUUUCUGCGCCGUAAAGUUGGGGACCUCUUUGACUGUGGUAACGAUGCCGGCAGAAACGCGUGCCACCGGGGACGGAACCUGCCAGGCUCUGUGCCAAACCCUGGUCUCUCAGAACGGGAUCCAGAGAAACACGGCUGACAUCUCCAAGUCUCUCCUCUACACAUCCCUGAUGGGGCUGCUACUGGUUGUAGACAGAGAG
Long non-coding RNA from Oncorhynchus keta (chum salmon), 413 nucleotides. RefSeq lists it as uncharacterized. The record is from RefSeq and is a predicted model, not a curated record. Lineage: Eukaryota; Metazoa; Chordata; Actinopteri; Salmoniformes; Salmonidae. The transcript is spliced from 2 exons.